This 261-nucleotide unclassified non-coding RNA is filed under the name Hevea brasiliensis (rubber tree). Lineage: Eukaryota; Viridiplantae; Streptophyta; Magnoliopsida; Malpighiales; Euphorbiaceae. The record is from RNAcentral.
GGGAAGCUGCAGGAGUUUGAAAAGGCAGACAUGGUAUAUAAAGAGAUGCAUGAAGAGGGAUGUGUUUUCUCUGAUGAAGUUCACUUUCAAAUGCUUAGUCUUUAUGGUGCUAGAAGGAAUUACGAGAUGGUUGAGACACUCUAUAAGGUGCUAGACUCUGAUCCUAAUGUUAACAAGAAAGAGUUGCAUCUUGUUGUUGCUGCCAUUUAUGAAAAAGCAAACAGAAUGAAUGAUGCAUCUCGAAUUAUAAAUCGGAUGACU